RNAcentral lists this ribosomal RNA (460 nucleotides) under uncultured bacterium. Its description in RNAcentral is "partial 16S ribosomal RNA". It matches the Rfam family "Bacterial small subunit ribosomal RNA", at positions 338 to 795 of the family's 1533-position model. The record is from RNAcentral.
CCUACGGGUGGCAGCAGUGAGGAAUAUUGGUCAAUGGCCGGAAGGCUGAACCAGCCAUGCCGCGUGAAGGUCAGUGCCCUAUGGGCGUUAAACUUCUUUUGUGCGGGAGCAAUAAUGGUCACGUGUGGCCAGACGAGAGUACCGUACGAAUAAGCAUCGGCUAACGCCGUGCCAGCAGCCGCGGUAAUACGGGGGAUGCAAACGUUUUCCGGGUUUAUUGGGUUUAAAGGGUGCGUAGGCUGUGAGGUAAGUCAGCGGUGAAAUGCCCGCGCUCAACGGGGUGAAGUGCCAUUGAUACUGCCUUGCUGGAAUGCGGAUGCCGUGGGAGGAAUGUGUGGUGUAGCGGUGAAAUGCAUAGAUAUCACACAGAACACCGAUUGCGAAGGCAGCUCACGAAUCCGCGAUUGACGCUGAUGCACGAAAGCGUGGGUAUCAAACAGGAUUAGAUACCCUUGUAGUC